Molecule: ribosomal RNA, 437 nt
Filed under: uncultured bacterium
Lineage: Bacteria
Description: partial 16S ribosomal RNA
Rfam family: Bacterial small subunit ribosomal RNA
Source: RNAcentral
GAUGAACGCUGGCGGCAUGCUUAACACAUACAAGUCGGACGGGAAGUGGUGUUUCCAGUGGCGGGCGGGUGAGGAACGCGGAAGAACCUGCCCUGGGGAGGGGAACAACAACUGGAAACGGUUGCUAAUACCCCGUAGGCUGAGGAGCAAAAGGAGGAAUCCGCCCGAGGGGGGGCUUGCGUCUGACUAGCUAGUUGGUGAGGUAAUAGCUUACCAAGGCGAUGAGCAGUAGCUGGUCCGAGAGGAUGAUCAGCCACACUGGGACUGAGACACGGCCCAGACUCCUGCGGGCGGCAGCAGUGGGGAAUUUUCCGCAAUGGGCGACCGCCUGACGGAGCGCUGCCGCGUGGAGGUAGGCGGCCCACGGGUCGUGAACUUCUUUUCUCGGAGAAGAAACAAUGACGGUAUCUGAGGAAUAAGCAUCGGCUAACUCUGUG